This 477-nucleotide ribosomal RNA is filed under the name uncultured bacterium. RNAcentral's name for it is "partial 16S ribosomal RNA". It matches the Rfam family "Bacterial small subunit ribosomal RNA", at positions 28 to 507 of the family's 1533-position model. The record is from RNAcentral.
GAUUAACGCUGGCGGCGUGCAUAACACAUGCAAGUCGAACGAUGAAACUUAAAUGAUUUCUUCGGAAUGACCUUAAGUGGAUUAGUGGCGGACGGGUGCGUAACGCGUGAGUAACCUGCCUUACACAAGGGGAUAGCCGUUGGAAACGACGAAUAAUACCCUAUGAAACUAUCACUUCGCAUGAAGCGAUAGUCAAAGUGUUAGCGGUGUAAGAUGGACUUGCGUCUGAUUAGCUAGUUGGUGAGAAAAAAGCCCACCAAGGCAACGAUCAGUAGCCGGCUUGAGAGAGUGUACGGCCACAUUGGGACUGAGACACGGCCCAGACUCCUACGGGAGGCAGCAGUGGGGAAUUUUGCACAAUGGGGGAAACCCUGAUGCAGCGACGCCGCGUGAUUUAGAAGGCCUUCGGGUUGUAAAAAUCUUUUGUAUAGGAAGAAAAUGACAGUACUAUACGAAUAAGGUCCGGCUAAUUACGUG